UCGUAACAAGGUUUCCGUAGGUGAACCUGCGGAAGGAUCAUUACAACAAUAAUUCAACAUUGUGUCAGAGCAAUAACAUCUAAAACCGAUCAUCAAUUAAUUAAUUCAAAACUUUCAACAACGGAUCUCUAGGUUCUCGCAUCGAUGAAGAACGCAGCGAAAUGCGAUACGUAGUACGAAACGCAAGUCGUGAAUCAUCGAAUCUUUGAACGCACAUUGCGCUGUGUGGCAUUCCACACAGCAUGCCUGUUUGAGCAAUAUUUCUCUCUCGCAAGGUGUUGGGCACCACGCCGGCAGGCGUCUGCCAGAAACGAAAUUGUCUAAAACAGUUAAGCUUGUUACAGACUCUUGAUCUUAUUCUCAAAUCAGGUAGGACUACCCGCUGAACUUAAGCAUAUCA
Molecule: unclassified non-coding RNA, 400 nt
Filed under: Diutina rugosa
Lineage: Eukaryota; Fungi; Ascomycota; Pichiomycetes; Serinales; Debaryomycetaceae
Description: sequence contains 18S rRNA gene, ITS1, 5.8S rRNA gene, ITS2, 28S rRNA gene
Rfam family: 5.8S ribosomal RNA (bases 110-260)
Source: RNAcentral